AUUGAACGCUGGCGGCAGGCCUAACACAUGCAAGUCGAGCGGAUGAAGGGAGCUUGCUCCUGGAUUCAGCGGCGGACGGGUGAGUAAUGCCUAGGAAUCUGCCUGGUCGUGGGGGAUAACGUCCGGAAACGGGCGCUAAUACCGCAUACGUCCUGAGGGUGAAAGUGAGGGAUCAUCAGACCUCACGCUAUCAGAUGAGCCUAGGUCGGAUUAGCUAGUUGGUGGGGUAAAGACCUACCAAGGCGACGAUCCGUAACUGGUCUGAGAGGAUGAUCAGUCACACUGGAACUGAGACACGGUCCAGACUCCUACGGGAGGCAGCAGUGGGGAAUAUUGGGCAAUGGGCGAAAGCCUGAUCCAGCCAUGCCGCGUGUGUGAAGAAGGUCUUCGGAUUGUAAAGCACUUUAAGUUGGGAGGAAGGGCAGUAAGUUAAUACCUUGCUGUUUUGACGUUACCAACAGAAUAAGCACCGGCUAACUUCGUG
RNAcentral lists this ribosomal RNA (484 nucleotides) under uncultured bacterium. RNAcentral describes it as "partial 16S ribosomal RNA". It matches the Rfam family "Bacterial small subunit ribosomal RNA", at positions 30 to 507 of the family's 1533-position model. The record is from RNAcentral.